AAAAACUUAGUUAAAAUAUAACACUAACUUGUCAAGUUAAAAUAAUCGGCCCCCCCCGGUAGUUUUUA
RNAcentral lists this transfer RNA (68 nucleotides) under Cleroidea sp. 2 KM-2017. Its description in RNAcentral is "tRNA-Asp". The record is from RNAcentral. Lineage: Eukaryota; Metazoa; Arthropoda; Insecta; Coleoptera.